Molecule: ribosomal RNA, 312 nt
Filed under: Glaciecola sp. FRA000012
Lineage: Bacteria; Pseudomonadati; Pseudomonadota; Gammaproteobacteria; Alteromonadales; Alteromonadaceae
Description: bacterial SSU rRNA
Rfam family: Bacterial small subunit ribosomal RNA
Source: RNAcentral
AACGCUGGCGGCAGGCCUAACACAUGCAAGUCGAACGGUAACAUUUCUAGCUUGCUAGAAGAUGACGAGUGGCGGACGGGUGAGUAAUACUUAGGAAUAUGCCUUUGUGUGGGGGAUAACUAUUGGAAACGAUAGCUAAUACCGCAUAACGUCUUCGGACCAAAGGGGGCUUCGGCUCCCGCGCAAAGAGUAGCCUAAGCGAGAUUAGCUUGUUGGUGAGGUAAAGGCUCACCAAGGCGACGAUCUCUAGCUGUUCUGAGAGGAAGAUCAGCCACACUGGAACUGAGACACGGUCCAGACUCCUACGGGAGG